Long non-coding RNA from Talpa occidentalis (Iberian mole), 1628 nucleotides. RefSeq lists it as uncharacterized. The record is from RefSeq and is a predicted model, not a curated record. Lineage: Eukaryota; Metazoa; Chordata; Mammalia; Eulipotyphla; Talpidae. The transcript is spliced from 3 exons.
GUACGUGACAGAGAGUCGCCUGAAACCUCCCAGUGAUUAGAGUUUGGCAAAAUUUAGUUAAUUUCUCUUCCUUUGCAGUUGACAAAAUGUAGACCUUAGUAGUCACAUUUCGUUGGAUAUAUUAAGAAAAAUGGACACACCUUUCAGGCAUUUUGCAGUAGUUACACCACGGACAUUUAUAUGAGUGAAAGUGUUACCAAAUCAUUGUCUUCUAAGUUUCAAGAUUUCAAGCCCCGGAGGAUGGAAGAAUAUUGGACCGUAACCUGAGUGAAAUAAUGAGGGGAAGCUAACGCUGUGGAGAAGAUGAUGAAUAUAUUUUAGGUUGAGGUGCCAGCUGGCAAAACAUCGUGAGGUUAAAAUUUCCUGACCGAUUUGGAAAUAGCAAGCAGUCUGUACAGAGAUAAGAGGUUGAACUUCCGGAUGAGCCUGUAGGUAGAUCAGCUAUGCUUGUUCAAGACCUUACUCUUACCCCACCUGGCCAUCAAUAUGACUGAGAGAGGGAUCUUGAUGAAAAUGUGAUGGAUGACAUCAAGGUGUGCAUUGUCUGCUAGUGUGGAUUGCCUGUGCUCUCCAGUUAUCUUUGUGCUUCUUCCCAAACAUGGUACAUUCAUCUUAUGAAGUGACUCGACGUGCCCAAAAUUUGUGAUGUGGGUUCAGCAAGAUACAUUUCAUUUUGUGUCAUUUAGUGUCCUAUGGUCAAGUGUUUUCUCUUUACCAGAAGCAUCCCAAGAACUAAUUUUCAAAAGACAUGCAAUCUUGAUCCAGAACCCCAGGGGCCUGAAUGUGAUUCUCCUACUAACAUUUCCAUAAUCUCCAUACUACAUUUUUUCCUCCAAAAUUAACAAUUCUACCCCAUAGUACCUACCAUAUCCAAGACUGUACCAGUUCAGACCUGCUGCAGAACUUUCUUUUGCCAGAUCGAAAAGCUGGGAGCUUUUUAUGUCAUCUGCUAUAUGGGCCAGGAAAUUUAUCCGAGGUAUGAAGUAUGUUGCUUACAGAAUCCAAAGUAGCCUACGAGGCAUUAUGCUUUCUCCAUUGUUAUAGGGGAAGCAAGAGGCAGACAUUCAUCUUUUGCUCUGAAGGGGAUAUUCUCCAACCUCCCUGAACACUGGGGCCUUAAAAUAUUUAAUGAGAGUAGUGGUCUUUGAUUGCUUAUAGGGUUCAUUUUUCUCUUUCUCUGGAGCACAAACCUCCAGCAUUCCAAACACUUCUUGCUCGACCUAUUUGAUAAGCAUAAGGCCAUUAAUAUGAUCCUCUACAGGAUUUCCAGUUGAUUCAGAUCUCUUUGAACUGUGUUAUGACAGAGAAAAGAGAGUUAACAUGGCCCUGGGUUCAAAGUGUCAGUGUGUUUGUUGUCUUUUUAUUUCAUGUGGACACGAACUAUUUCUAAUUGUCUUACUUAAAUGGAGUAGGAAAUAAUGCACUCUCUAAAUCAGUGGUCACAUACCAUGUAGCUGCACCUGGUAUAGCAGCUACAAUUGGUGCUGCUGCCUAGUUGAACUUGUAAUAGUCUGUAAUCAUCCCACUAAUUCAUCUGGUUUCUGCAGGGGCCAGGUUGUUAAAGUAAAUGGAGACCUGAUGUGAACCAUUAGUUUUUUAUAUCCUUAAGAGUGUUAUUAAUUAUUAUC